RNAcentral lists this transfer RNA (105 nucleotides) under Xylaria arbuscula. RNAcentral describes it as "tRNA-Ile". It matches the Rfam family "tRNA". From Rfam's summary of the family: Transfer RNA (tRNA) molecules are approximately 80 nucleotides in length. Their secondary structure includes four short double-helical elements and three loops (D, anti-codon, and T loops). The record is from RNAcentral. Lineage: Eukaryota; Fungi; Ascomycota; Sordariomycetes; Xylariales; Xylariaceae.
GCUCGCUUGACGCAGUGGUAGCGUGCCGUUCUUAUAUAAUCUUCGAUUACGAAGUUUGUAUGACGAGAAAUGCGGAAGCCGUGAGUUCGACCCUCACAGUGAGCA